Molecule: ribosomal RNA, 809 nt
Filed under: uncultured Actinomycetes bacterium
Lineage: Bacteria; Bacillati; Actinomycetota; Actinomycetes
Also listed under: 1 other name
Description: bacterial SSU rRNA
Rfam family: Bacterial small subunit ribosomal RNA
Source: RNAcentral
AGAGUUUGAUCCUGGCUCAGGAUGAACGCUGGCGGCGUGCUUAACACAUGCAAGUCGAACGAGGUCCAUGGAGCUUGCUCCGGACGACCUAGUGGCGAACGGGUGCGUAACACGUGAGAAACCUGCCCCGAUCUCUGGGAUAACAGUUGGAAACGACUGCUAAUACCGGAUGCCGUCACACCGUCACAUGGCGGAGUGCCGAAAGAUUCAUCGGAUCGGGAGGGUCUCGCGGCCUAUCAGCUUGUUGGAGAGGUAACGGCUCACCAAGGCAUCGACGGGUAGCUGGUCUGAGAGGAUGAUCAGCCACACUGGGACUGAGACACGGCCCAGACUCCUACGGGAGGCAGCAGUGGGGAAUCUUGCACAAUGGGCGAAAGCCUGAUGCAGCAACGCCGCGUGCGGGAAGAAGGCCCUAGGGUUGUAAACCGCUUUCAGUAGGGAAGAAAAUGACGGUACCUACAGAAGAAGGUGCGGCCAACUACGUGCCAGCAGCCGCGGUGACACGUAGGCACCAAGCGUUAUCCGGAUUUAUUGGGCGUAAAGAGCUCGUAGGCGGUUUGGUAAGUCGGGUGUGAAAACUCUGGGCUCAACCCAGAGAGGCCACCCGAUACUGCUAUGACUAGAGUACGGUAGGGGAGCGGGGAAUUCAUGGUGUAGCGGUGAAAUGCGCAGAUAUCAUGAGGAACACCAGCGGCGAAGGCGCCGCUCUGGGCCGUAACUGACGCUGAGGAGCGAAAGCGUGGGUAGCAAACAGGAUUAGAUACCCUGGUAGUCCACGCCGUAAACGUUGGGCACUAGGUGUGGGUCUC